Molecule: ribosomal RNA, 537 nt
Filed under: Mycoplasmopsis arginini
Lineage: Bacteria; Bacillati; Mycoplasmatota; Mycoplasmoidales; Metamycoplasmataceae
Description: bacterial LSU rRNA
Rfam family: Bacterial large subunit ribosomal RNA
Source: RNAcentral
AUUAAACAAGAUAAGAGUUUUUGGUGGAUGCCUUGGGUCUGGAAGUCGAUGAAGGACGUGAUUACCUGCGAUAAGCCUCGGUUAGCUGGAAAUGAGCUGUGAUCCGGGGAUUUCCGAAUGGGGAAACCUAAUUGAGCUAAUCCUCAAUUAUCAUAUCGAUGAAUACAUAGUCGAAUGAAGAGACACGCUGUGAAUUGAAACAUCUCAGUAGCAGCAGGAAGAGAAAAUAAAGAAUGAUUCCCUCAGUAGUGGCGAGCGAACGGGGAAGAGCCCAAACCAACAUUCGUUGUUGGGGUUAUAGGACUACAUUUUAGAGUUACAAAAUUUACAUAUAGCAGAAUAAGUUGGAAUGCUUAAACAUAGAGGGUGAAAUUCCCGUAAGCGAAAUGUGUAGAUCUCUUUGUAGUAUCCUGAGUAGGGCGGGGCACGUGAAACCCUGUCUGAAUUUGCCGGGACCACCCGGUAAGGCUAAAUACUAACCAGACACCGAUAGUGAACUAGUACCGUGAGGGAAAGGUGAAAAGAACCCAGAGAUGG